RNAcentral lists this ribosomal RNA (638 nucleotides) under uncultured archaeon. RNAcentral's name for it is "bacterial SSU rRNA". It matches the Rfam family "Archaeal small subunit ribosomal RNA", at positions 45 to 684 of the family's 1478-position model. The record is from RNAcentral.
UAAGCCUGCGAGUCUAAAGGUUUCUUCGGAAACCUUGGCGGACCGCUCAGUAACACGUGGAUAACCUACCCUUGGGACUGGAAUAACCCCGGGAAACUGGGGAUAAUACCGGAUAGAUCAGGGAUGCUGGAAUGCACCUUGAUCCAAAGCUCCGGCGCCCAAGGAUGGGUCUGCGGCCUAUCAGGUAGUAGUGGGUGUAACGUACCUACUAGCCAACGACGGGUACGGGUUGUGAGGGCAAGAGCCCGGAGAUGGAUUCUGAGACACGAAUCCAGGCCCUACGGGGUGCAGCAGGCGCGAAACCUUUACAAUGUGCGAAAGCAUGAUAAGGGAACUCCGAGUGCCAGUAUCUAAUACUGGCUGUCCUUGUGCCUAAAACGCACAAGAUAGCAAGGGCCGGGUAAGACCGGUGCCGGCCGCCGCGGUAACACCGGCGGCCCGAGUGGUAGCCGCUAUUAUUGGGUCUAAAGGGUCCGUAGCCGGUUCGAUAAGUCCUCUGGGAAAUCUGGUUGCUUAACAAUCAGACUGCCAAGGGAUACUGUCGAACUUGAGACCGGGAGAGGUAAGAGGUACUUCAGGGGUAGGAGUGAAAUCUUGUAAUCCCUGGGGGACCAUCUGUGGCGAAGCGUCUUACCAGA